GUACCUACGGGGGGCAGCAGUCGAGAAUCAUUCACAAUGGGGGAAACCCUGAUGGUGCGACGCCGCGUGGGGGAAUGAAGGUCUUCGGAUUGUAAACCCCUGUCAUGUGGGGGCAAAUUAAAAAGAUAGUCCACAAGAGGAAGAGACGGCUAACUCUGUGCCAGCAGCCGCGGUAAUACAGAGGUCUCAAGCGUUGUUCGGAAUUACUGGGCGUAAAGCGUGCGUAGGCUGUUUCGUAAGUCGUGUGUGAAAGGCGCGGGCUCAACCCGCGGACGGCACAUGAUACUGCGGGACUAGAGUAAUGG
This 305-nucleotide ribosomal RNA is filed under the name uncultured bacterium. RNAcentral describes it as "bacterial SSU rRNA". It matches the Rfam family "Bacterial small subunit ribosomal RNA", at positions 335 to 652 of the family's 1533-position model. The record is from RNAcentral.